Molecule: ribosomal RNA, 774 nt
Filed under: uncultured Neocallimastigales
Lineage: Eukaryota; Fungi; Neocallimastigomycota; Neocallimastigomycetes; Neocallimastigales
Description: partial large subunit ribosomal RNA
Rfam family: Eukaryotic large subunit ribosomal RNA
Source: RNAcentral
AGAGAGAGACAUGCGCGCAUAUCAAUAAGCGGAGGAAAAGAAACUAACAAGGAUUCCCCUAGUAACGGCGAGUGAAGCGGGAAGAGCUCAAAUUUGAAAUCUUAAAGGGUUUCCCUUUACGAAUUGUAGUUUAAAGAAGUGUUUUCUGUUGAGGUUUUGGUAAAAGUUCUUUGGAAUAGGACAUCAUAGAGGGUGAGAAUCCCGUAUUUGACCUUUACUUUCAACUUUGUGAUACACUUUCAAAGAGUCGGAUUGUUUGGGAAUGCAGUCCAAAAUGGGUGGUAAAUUUCAUCUAAAGCUAAAUAUUGGCGAGAGACCGAUAGCGAACAAGUACCGUGAGGGAAAGAUGAAAAGAACUUUGAAAAGAGAGUUAAACAGUACGUGAAAUUGUCAAAAGGGAAGCGUUUGACACCAGUGUUGUUUUUCUGAAAAUCAAUUAAAGAACUGUUUAUGCUAAGUUGUUUAGACUUUAUCAGCUAACUGUUUAGUUUUGAGCUUUUCUUUAAUGCACUUUUCAGUUAACAAGUCAACAUCAAUUUCUUUUGCUGUAAAAAAGCUUGAGGAAGGUGGCUUGAGAUUCGUCUUAAGUGUUUAUAGCCUCUUGCCUAUGCAGUCGGAGAGAUUGAGGUCUGCAGCGUAGAUCCUUCGGGGCUAAAUGCAUUUGUGCUAAGUUAUAGCAUUUUAUAGACAACUUGUUGACUAUGAUUUGUCUUGUAGCUUACUCGCUUAUGUUAUGUUACCUACGCUUAGGAUGUUGAGCGCAUGUCUCUCUCU